Molecule: ribosomal RNA, 274 nt
Filed under: uncultured bacterium
Lineage: Bacteria
Description: partial 16S ribosomal RNA
Rfam family: Bacterial small subunit ribosomal RNA
Source: RNAcentral
AAGUUUGAUGGCGACCGGCGCACGGGUGAGUAACACGUAUCCAACCUGCCGAUGACUCGGGGAUAGCCUUUCGAAAGAAAGAUUAAUACCCGAUGGCAUAGUUCUUCCGCAUGGUGGAACUAUUAAAGAAUUUCGGUCAUCGAUGGGGAUGCGUUCCAUUAGGUUGUUGGCGGGGGUAACGGCCCACCAAGCCUUCGAUGGAUAGGGGUUCUGAGAGGAAGGUCCCCCACAUUGGAACUGAGACACGGUCCAAACUCCUACGGGAGGCAGCAUG